UACGGGGAGGCAGCAGUGGGGGAAUAUUGCACAAUGGGCGCAAGCCUGAUGCAGCCAUGCCGCGUGUGUGAAGAAGGACCUUCGGGUUGUAAAGCACUUUCAGUCGUGAGGAAGGUAGUGUAGUUAAUAGCUGCAUUAUUUGACGUUAGCGACAGAAGAAGCACCGGCUAACUCCGUGCCAGCAGCCGCGGUAAUACGGAGGGUGCGAGCGUUAAUCGGAAUUACUGGGCGUAAAGCGCAUGCAGGUGGUUUGUUUAAGUCAGAUGUGAAAGCCCGGGGCUCAACCUCGGAAUAGCAUUUGAAACUGGCAGACUAGAGUACUGUAGAGGGGGGUAGGAAUUUCAGGUGUAGCGGUGAAAUGCGUAGAGAUCUGAAGGAAUACCGGUGGCGAAGGCGGCCCCCUGGACAGAUACUGACACUCAGAUGCGAAAGCGUGGGGAGCAAACAGGAUUAGAUACCCUGGUAG
RNAcentral lists this ribosomal RNA (466 nucleotides) under uncultured bacterium. RNAcentral describes it as "bacterial SSU rRNA". It matches the Rfam family "Bacterial small subunit ribosomal RNA", at positions 340 to 793 of the family's 1533-position model. The record is from RNAcentral.